RNAcentral lists this ribosomal RNA (253 nucleotides) under uncultured bacterium. RNAcentral's name for it is "partial 16S ribosomal RNA". It matches the Rfam family "Bacterial small subunit ribosomal RNA", at positions 524 to 776 of the family's 1533-position model. The record is from RNAcentral.
UACGGAGGGUGCAAGCAUUAAUCGGAAUUAUUGGGCGUAAAGGGCGCGUAGGCGGAAUUGUAAGUCAGAUGUGAAAUUCCAAAACUUAACAUUGGAGCUGCAUUUGAGACUGCAAGACUAGAGGAAUGGCGGAGAAAAUGGAAUUCCACGUGUAGCGGUGAAAUGUGUAGAUAUGUGGAAGAACACCUGUGGCGAAAGCGGUUUUCUAGCUUUUUCCUGACGCUGAGGCGCGAGAGCAAGGGGAGCAAACAGG